This 24955-nucleotide long non-coding RNA is filed under the name Medicago truncatula (barrel medic). RNAcentral's name for it is "long non-coding RNA (MTRU_LNC004808)". The record is from RNAcentral. Lineage: Eukaryota; Viridiplantae; Streptophyta; Magnoliopsida; Fabales; Fabaceae.
CUGAUUGUAUUAAUAAAAUUACUCACGUUAUUUAACAUCAUAAUAGGAAAGUAACAAAGUUUCCAAGAUUCAACUCAAACUACAAUUAAAAAUUAAAUCACCAACCCCACCCUAGUGUUACAAUAUCAGAGCUCGUAGCGACUACAACUUAUUCAACUACUAAAUAACAGAACUAGGCGGAGGGCAUCCCAUCAUCUCCAUCCUCUAAAACGUCCCACAGCUACUCCUUGUCAACCUGAGUAUCUAUACUCAAGGUACAAUCACCGUACACGAAACAACACAACAAAAUAAAGGGUGAGAAAUCAUGCCAUAACAUAAUAAUAGAGAAAAGCAUGCACAUUAAAUAAAUAUCAAAAGAAUAUAGUUUCCACUAUCUCAAGAUUCUCAACAGUUACUAUGUAUAAUCUCUUCAUUUUACAUGUCACAGCUGCACAUCAUAUUCACAUUCAAACACCCAAAUUAACAUCAUCAUAUAUAAGCAUAUGGACUCUCUUAAUGAGCUAUAUGAUUGUGGUCCCACACCUAUCGUCAUAAUUUGCCAGAGGUAUGUUACUGGAUUUUCAUCGUCAUAAUUUGCCAGAGAUAUGUUAUUGGACUUUCAUCGUCAUUUCGUCAUCAUGAUUCCUCGACACGACUCUAUAUGCAUGAAUGAGACAGACUCUUCAAGUAUUAAAAGAUCAUAACAUCAUCAACAAAUCAGAAUCAUAAAUGCAGACUCUUCCUAUUAUGCACAACAUCAAGACAAACAUAUCAUCAUCAUUCACAUCGUCAUCAUAAGUAAACAUCGUCAUUCUCAUCAUCAAUGUAUAUUAGACACCAUCAUUCAAGUCAUCAUCAUAAUUAUACGUCAUCAUUCUCAUCGUCAAUAUAUAUAUACCACCCUCAUCAUCAUCAUAGAUAAACAUCAUUACUCUUAUCAUCAUACUGAUAUAGUUAUCGUCAUCCUCAUCAUCACUAACAUAUAAACAUUAUCAUUUCUCAUUGAUGACAGUUAGUCAUUCGUUAUUUUUAGAGUCUUUUUAUGUAAUUUUUGAGUUCACAAGCAAGCUUAAGCAGCAAGAAAACCAAGAAAAACUGAAGAAACUAAAAAAAGGGCAUCGUGUCACUAUUAACUGAAAAACGUGUCACGAUUUGAAGCUUUCAAGAAAAAUGCAUUCGACAUUGGUGAAAACGUGUCACGAUGGCAAAAACGUGACACAAUUAUGGAAACCCUAAUUUGUGUGGUUUGUUACACAAGAAGAAACGUGUCACGAUUUACUUAAAUAGUGCCACGAUUUUAGGAGUAGUUGUUGACUAUUUAAGCUGAAGACUAUUCUGAACACAAGGGUUACGAUUUGGAGAGAGCAAAGUGCGAUUUUGAGACUACAAGACGGCUAGAAGGGCGAUUUCUUCACUCUUUUACCAAUUCAUGUAUGUAUUGAUUCCUCUAAUAAUUAUGUUAUUUGUAAACACCAUUAUGAGUAGCUAAAUCCAUUAGAGGUUAGGUCUGAGAUGAUUCUUUGUAACCCUAAUUGAAAGAUGUUGCCGUGAAACUCUAUUUAUUGUCAAUGACAAUCUAGUUUUUAUUCAAUUCAAUUCCCUAGCUCAAGCUUCACUUUAGCUCCUAGGUUCUCUCCUCUUCUUGAAUCUUCAAGUUUCUCCUUCUCUAACCCUUUUCCUCUUUGCUCCCACUUUCUCUCUCUCUCUCUCUCUCAAAAUAUCUAUGUAAAUGAAAGUGUGUAGGAAAUUUCCUCUAAGACAAAACUUAUAUAGGAUAUCCCUCUGAUGGGCCUAACCCUAAAGCUUAGUGGACUUAACCCACUCCAACUCAAAUCUAAAAUGUUUCUACACUCACAACGGUAAAAUACUAUUAACGGUCACUUAACAGUAAAAUACUACCAACGGUCACUUAACGGUAAAGUACUAAUUACUACCCUAGUAACUUAGCAAAAAUAACGGUUCUCACUAACCACUAAAAUAAUUCUCACCAAAAUUACUAAUUUACUCUUACACCCAAAGGCUAAAUUAAUCCAAUGGUCCCUCAACUAAUUUCCGGUUUUCAUUUUGGUCCCAUAAGUCAUAAAAUCAUCAAUUUGCUCCCUCAACUUUUGCUCCUUUAUUCAAAAAGGUCCCUGAUUGUUAACUUUAACAUUAAAUAUCUCAAGUGGAACACAAACAAUGUUUGCCCUAGCAGAGCGUUCUCUCUGAGCAAAAGAUUAUCAACUUUUUCGAAAUCUUACGUGAAAUAUAGAAGGAGAAUGAAGAAUUCAUCUACAUAGUCAUACAGUGUCUUUAUUUAUUAUAGUAGGUAAUUAUGAUUACACCAUGAUAUUAUUGUUUUCCAUUUCUUAUAUGAGUUCAUGAUGGCAAACAUAGUUGCAUAAUAUAAUAAUACAUAUGAUCUUUUCAUUGAAAUCAACUGGGAACAACAUCUGGAUCUAUAUCGUACUCAAUAGUGCAUUGACAAGAUAAAUUAAUGCACUUCAGAGUUAGAUCAGUUGGACACAUAUCUGGUGGACAUUCAGGGGUAAAUAGGCAUGGAGGAGCAUCUGGGAGGCCUAACAAGAACAAAAUAAAUGUUAAUAUAGGUGAUGGAAUAUUAUAUAUAAGUUAAAUUAUAAAUUUGAAAAUGAUAUGAAACAUUACUCACUUCCAUUGGUUGUGACCAGAAAUAGGGAAACAAAGAUGAGCAAAGCAUAAAAGAAACUUAGGAUUCGAGCCAUAAUUUUUUCUCUUUUGCAUGUGAUAAAUGGAAAAUAUUUUGAUCAAUUUAUAAAGAAAAGGUAAUGCUUUGUUAACUUCAAUGAAAUAGUUUUUAACCCUAGAAGGUGCAAGAAGUCGUUCAAAAAAUUGAAAUAGUUGGUAAAUGUUUCUAUAGAUGUGUCGUGUGUAUCUCUUUGCAAGCUCAGUUAGUCACUUAAUUUUAGUAAAUAUAUCAUAUAAGAAUCUUAAUAAUAAUCAAAGUUCAUUAAUUUUUUUCAUUAAACUUUUAAUAAAAUUUUUUUAUUUCUCUUUUAGCUUUUUAUGGUAGAUAAGAGACACAUAAAUCUUUUGGUGGAAAUAAAAAUGUAAAGAAAUAGACAGAUAUAAAAAUUUAAACACUAGUGACGAAUGACGCAAAACUUCAUAAACAGGGUUUUAUCAGCCAAAUUCGCAAAAAAAAAUUGGGUCGUUCUAAGCAAAUUCACAAUAAUCAAAGCAAAUAUGAUUACACUAGGUGAGAUUGAUGGUUAUAAUUGUGAUUCUUUAAAAAUUAAAGCAAAAAUAACAGUCACAGGAAAGAGGGUUACAAUUGUCACUCUUUAAAAAUUGGAUCUUGCACUUUGUUAAAAUAUUUCUCAAUAUAAAACAAUACGCUUAGGUGUAUGUGUAGUUUGAUUUGCAAGAGCAAAGAGUAUACUUGAAGAAAUAACACACAAAAAUUAUGAUGGUUAUUUAAUGUGGGCUAGUUUUUUGUUGUACAAGGCUAAAACAGAUAAGAAAAUUUCUGCCACAUCAUUUUGGAGGAGAUUUUUGAGGUUCAUUAGAGGAGACUCAUGUCGAAGAAAUUCAACAUCAGAAGAGGCACGAAGCUUUGCAAAAAAAUCUGCACAUUGAUUCUCUUCCCUAAGGGUGUGAUUAACCAUAACAUUUCCCUGCUCCAAUAACACUUUUAUAUCUUGGAUUAAAACAGAAUAAGCAUGAAACCUCAUUGGGGGGACCAUUGAGGAUGUUGAUACAAUGUAAAGCAUCAGAGUAGCAAACAAAAUCAAGAAUACCCAUAUAUUUGGCCAACAAGAGACCUUUAUAGAUAGCAUAGAGCUCAUCAUACAAGAUCAGAUGAAUUUUGAAUGUAUCCAGAAAAGCCUAACAAGAAAAAACCUGCAUAGUUUCUUAAAAUUCCUCCAUAGCCAGCUCUUACUGGAGAUCCAAGACAACUUCCAUCAACAUUAAGGUUGACACAAGAAUGAUUAUUGUUGGUCCACUUGAUGAAUUGUCUUCAUAGAUAGUAUUAGAGAUGGAAGUAUAACAAGCUUUGAGGGUAUCAACCAUGCCUUGAAUGUUGAAGGAUAAUUUAGCAUUUGACCAAUUCUCAUUGCCUAAGCACAUCAUGUUUCGAUUCCUCCAAGCCCACCAUAAUAUGGGCUAGUAUAGUCUUCGCAACUGUGAGAUUUCACUAUAGUAUUUAGAUAGAUGUUUUUUCUAUCAUGUGCAAUAGACAAUAAUUACAUCAAAGUUUCACCGGAAAUGAUACUGACAGCAAAACGGUUAACCAAUACCCAAACAACAAAAGGGGUUAUGGCACCAAUCAUGAAAAUUAUAAUAAAAUGUAACAGAAUAAGCUUUAGACAUGAGAAGAAAAGUAGCUUGAUAUUUUCCAAAAGCUGAGAUGGAGUGCUUUUUUUUUUUUUUUUUGCACGGAAAAUUCUAGCGUUCCCUUCCUUCCAAAUUAGUCAAGUGCUUGCAAACUUAAGUACAUAAAGGAGCACCGAGCUUUAGAGAUACCUGAAGAAAUAUUGAUCUGAAGAUAAUGAGCUGAUAUGGUUAAAGGGUUAACCGAAGAAACACCUAACCAAAGAUGAACCAACUGCCAAACCUGACCAAAUACUUCGCAAUGCAAGAAUAACUGAUCCGCUGAUUCAAUAUUUCCACAACCAGAGACACAAACUGAGCAUCUUCCUGAAUAAUCCUUCUCCGAUAUAAAUUGUCCUUCAUAGGCACUCUAUCACGGAGAAGCCGCCAAGCAAAGACUGAAACUUUAAGCAGGACAUUUUACCUCCAGAUGCUAGGCGCAGAAGCUGAUGUAGCAGAAGGCAUGGUUGCAAACUCAGCCAACAGAGAAUGGUAAACACCACGCACCGUAUAACUUGCUACUAAAUCAGGAAUCCAAUACAAGACAUCAUUAAUAUUAACCUGCAACACAACAAUUAGUAACAACAAUGUACACUCCACUAACUGCUCCUCCUCCCAGGCCCUCAAUCCCCUUCUCCACUUCCACGCCUCCCCUCCCUCGUCCCACCCCAGCUGGAACAUUUGCGCAGCAAUUAAAAAUUUAUUUUCAGACAAAUCAAAUAACCGAUGAAAACGAACCUGCAAGGGAACCUCACCUACCCACCUAUCAAACCAAAAUAAAGUACCUGCACAAUUUCCGACCUUUAAACAAACAUUAGAAAACCAAGUACCCACCAUCGAACCAACACCAUCCCGCAUAUUAGCAAUUUCCUUCCACCACGUCGACCCAUCCCUUCCGCCUGCCUGAACUCGGCCCUCCACUAGCCCAUACCUAGCGGCGAAGACAUUAUAUCAUAAGCCAUGUGAAGGUGAAAAACACAAGAAGGGGGGGGGGGUUGAAUUGUGUUUUCUUUUUCUCUUAAAAAGGGAUUCUUCUUCUGAUAAAACUUCAGAAGCAGUUUGAUUGCUUCUGAUGAAAUGAUCAGAGUCAGAUUGCAGCGGAAAAGAACAGAGCAGAGAAAAGAAAGACAAAGACACAAGCAGUUAUCCUGGUUCCUUCCACAACACGGAAGUAGUCCAGUCCCCCUUGCACUUCCAAGGAGAUUUCACUAUAAUCACAAAGAUUACAACUGCUCAAUACUUUCUAAGUAUGAGACUUCACAAAAAUGCUCAAGCACACACGCAAGAGUCUUCCAAUGCUCAAGCACUAAGCAAGAGACUUCUAAUGCUCAAGCACGCAGGCAAGAGACUUCUAAUCAAACAAAAAUACAGAGAAUUGAGUUUGAAUUGAACACUUGAUAUACAAUCAGUGGUGUUCACAAUGCAAUACAGAAAAGACUCUAGACUUUGAAUUUCUAAGAUGUAUCAAAUCAGUGCAGAAAUUCAGUGUGCUUUGUAGAAUCAAAUUGACAGAGUUUUGGCGCUUUUGAACUUAUGUAUCUCUCUCUGUUAUCUUCAAGUCUUCACUCCUUUAUAUAGAGGCGUGAAAGAGACGUUGAGAUAAUCAGCACGUCUAAAGAGUCGUUUGAAAUCCUUUGAUUAUCCACCAGUGAUCCUUUGCCUGAUUUGGGUGUAGUCCUUUGAAGAAUAAACUUCAAAUUCAUUCCCAUCUUGAGUGUACAAUUCUGCAGGCAUGGCUGUUGUUUUGUCUUGUAGCGUAGACAGAAAACAGAGUAGUGGAGGUAGUGGUUGUACACUUGUACUUUGUCAACUCUAUUAACGAGAGACAAGAGCUCAGUGCUAUCCAUAUAUCCGUUGAUACCUCCCUUUCAAUUCUUCGUUCUUCUUUGAUAAGACUGAAUUGAAAAUCAGCUACUUUGAAUCUUCAGUUUGAUUAAAGGAUCAAAUGUAGCUUCUGGUGAAGAUAUUGCUUCUGAUGAAAACUUUUGCUUCUGAUGACUUUCUGCUUCUGAUGACGUCAUCUCUUCAGGAGCAGUUUAGCUUCAGGAGCAGUUUUCUUCAGAUGCUCAGAAUUUCUUUUUCUUUCCAUUGUUCUUCCAAGACCUAUUGAAAUAACUUGAGUAGCCUUUGGUCCUGUACACUUGAACAAUUAUUAGUAAUAACCAAUUGACAAUUUUUAAUACCUUGUUAUCAUCAAAACUUAAUAAGGUUCAUUGUGAAACACAUUUUGUUCCAACAAUCUCCCCCUUUUUGAUGAUGACAAACAAUAGUAUUUAAAAUGUUCAAUUGUUGUUGAUCUAAUUAAUAAGUUGACUACUGGGACAGAGGUUUGUAAGCUCCCCCUGAGUCUAAUAGAUCUUUAAGGUGAGGUUUGUAAGCUCCCCCUAAGUUCUAUUCUUAUUAAUUAAAUUUCAAUAAAAUACUUAUAAAAUCAAAUCAGAAGUAUUUAAAAGAAAUUUAGAGUAGGGCUCAGUGCCUUAAAAAAUACUAUACAUUUACUCCCCCUUUUGUCAUCAACAAAAAGAAUAGAAACAAAAGAAAGAGUAUCAGAGCAAACAGCAUUAAAAACAGUAAAUAUCAUCAGAGUUAAAGCUUGUAAAACAUAUUGAAGGUGAAAAAGCACAAGAUCCAGAAACAAUGAUAAUAUAUAUAAAGAAAGAUUAAGAUACAAAGACACAGCUACUAAGAACAAAAGUAAAAAACAAGCUAGAGUUGGGUGUGCAACUAAGGUUGGGCUUGCUUAUACAACUGUUCUAAGAGAUACUUGAUCUGAUCAUCCUUCUUCUGAAGUAGCUCAUCCUUUUCCCUCAUUCUUCGUUUAUAUCCAGCCUGAAUUCUAGCAGCCCUAGUGAUGUACUCUUCUUCUGGAUAGAAAGGAGUGAUGUCCAGCAGAGGCACAAAGUUCAGCUCUUUCUCCUUAGCUGCUUCAUGCAUGUCAUCCAAAAGCUUCUUCAGCAUAGCAGAGUGAGAUGACACACAUUUAGUUCUAAGCUGAUCCAGCAGCUCAUCAAAGCUCUUCUGAAGAUCCAUCCACUGAUCAUAAUAGUGAAUAGGAGGUGCAGGAACUGUUCUGCGAAGAAUCAGUGCCUGAAUCUCAUCACUAAGUCUAAUCAGCUGUUCCUCUAUAUACUCAGACUCCAGGAUAUGGUCAGGGAUGGGUGAAGGUUCAGUUUGAGUUGUAUUUGAUGUGGAAGGUUGGUCAGAGGUUAAGUCUAUUAUAGUGGGUGAGUCUGGUUGUUGUUGUUGUUCUGUUGUUUGGUCAGAAGCUGUUUGGUCAGGAGCAACUUGUUCAGAAGCAGUUUGCUCCUGAACAGUUUGCUCAGGGAUGGUUUGGGUUUCUGUUUGGGUUUCCAAGACAGUCUUUUCAGAAACUGUCUUAGAGGCCUUAGUGGGUGUUGGUUGCAUUUCACCACCUAGAUGUUUUUCUAAGUUGUGAAGGGUUGAGGAUUCUUGGUGUUGGGGGGUUUCUGAAGUAGUUGCAUCUGAAGCUACUUCAGAGGCUUUUUGUGGAGUUUGGUUAUUUGGUGAGUUUGUUUGGGUAGGUUCAGGUUGUUGUAUACUAACAGGUUCUGGAGUAUCUGGAUAUAGUGGAUGAGUAGUAGGCAAAUUGAAUUUCUCACAAAGUUUUAUCCUAUUUUUUGAAAAUUCUAUUUGAGUACUCUCAUAGUCAAGUGUUCCAUACUCUGUUAGUUUGGUAGGUUUGGUUUUUAGAAGCUUGUUUAUAUGUUGGCUAAGGGGUUGGUCAUCUGAUUCUGUGGAUGAUGAAGAGGGUGAAGAGGGUAGAGAUAGAGACUGAGUAUUAGUUGGAGCUUUAGAUGGAUUACCUGAGGACUGAGCUUCUGGAUGAAUUGCUUCUGGAGCUUUUGAAGCUGGUUCUGAUGAAGUUGCUCCUGAAGCUUGCUUAUUCUUCAAGGCUUGAGAAAGCAGAGUUGCUCCAUACUGAACUGUUUCUUGCUCUAACUCAGAAGCUAAAGCAGCGAUGACAGGAGUAGGCACAUACCCUGCAGCCUUGAGACGCUCAUCCCUUUCUUUUUCAUACAACAUCUUCAUCCUUUUCUUUUCUGCUAUCUUGGAUGCAGAAACCUCCCUAGCAUACUGCCUCAUUUCUUCAGUCAUUUCAAAACUGGGCAUGACUAUGGGCUCAGAAGUUGCAGUCCUUUUUGCCUUCUUGGGGCUUGAGUCUUCAUCCCAAUUUUCUUCCAUUUCUUUCAACAUUUCUUCCCUUCUUCCUUCAGCUGUCUUCAGAUUUUUUGUUAAAUUAGACCUCUUCCUUUUGAUGGUCUGAAGAGCAGCUUCUCUUUUAUUUUUGGGACUUGAAGGCUUUUCAGAAGCAGCUUGAUCAGAAGCAGCUUGUUCAGAACCAGUUUGUUCAGAAGCAGGCUGUUCUGCUGUUUCUUGAGUACUCCUUGUCCUUUUUCUGAUAAGAGGGACAUCAUCCAAAUCCUCCACUUCCUCAAGAAUGGUGGACAUAGCAGAUUUUUCCUUCUUGGCUUUCUUAUGCUUCUGAGCAUCCACCUCAGUAGCAUCUUCAGCAAGGUAUUCUUCCUUGGUGAUCUGCUUCUUUUUAGAUUUUCUGCCUUUGGCCACAGGCAGAUCACCACCAUACAUUUCUUCUGGGAUAUCUUUCAGGCUGAUUUUCUUGUUGUAGUUCUUGUAGUAGUCUAAGAUGUAGGCCCUCUGCACAUCCAGGGGAUCUUUCUUGCAGAUAGGGAUGUGAUGAGUGACUAGAUCAGAUAUGACAUCAGAUUCAUGCAUAUCUGUAUCUAGUUUCCUGCAUGUUGAAAUCAGCCUCAUCUUGACUAAGGUUGCCCCAUUGAUUAUUUUUCCUGUGACUGCUCCCAACUUCUGAUUAUCAUAAAUACCCACGUCUUUCAGGGCACUUAGGAGUCCUCCUUCUUGAAAGAUUAUGGAGAGCAGCCUUCCAUAGGGAACAAACUUCCUGUUCUCCAUCUGGCUCUUCUUGAGUUCUUUGAUCAUGUAUUUAAACAUAUACUUAGGAACGUUCAUUGUUGUUUCCUGAGAGAUGGUGUGAUGCAGAAAGACUUUGUGACCAAGUGAAGGUUGAUCAUUUCCUCCACCUUUGGGAAAAAUGUUUUCAUUCUAGAUCUUCAGCAGCAUUUUCUUUUCCAUGCUUAAGGUGCUGUAAGGCUUAGCAUCCUUUGAUCCGUAGAUAGUGUUGUUUACUAUUUCCUUCCAAGGGCUUGUUCUGGGGUUAGGAAUCUCUUCUCCAUCGUAUGUCCCAGAAGCAUCUCUCCUCAUAGCUUGAGCAAUCACUUGCUCAUUGAUUGUUACAGGAAUCCCCAUGACGUUUGAUCUAAUCUCAGUCCCAGUGAAGGCGAGUAGACCCAUUUCUUCUCUGGUUUUUCCCUCCAAAGUAGGAUCAACCAGAAUCAUCUGAGCUUCUUCCUGUUUAGCAGCAACUUUGUCAAACACUGAAGCUCUUACCCAGAAUUGUCUGACAAGCACUUCAUAAGUAGGACCGUUGAGAAGACUGAAGUAACUCAUUAGCUUCUGCUUCUUGUAGAAUCUUACCAAGUCGCACCCAUGGUGAGUUAGAGAAGUGAAAUCCACAGGAUUUUCCGCUUGAAUGAUUAGCUCCCAUUCCUCAAUAGACAUAGUUCUUCCUUUGAUUUCAUAAGCAGGAGUAUCUAUAUCCAUAUUCGAUGAAGAACCACCGGCAGAACUUGAAGAUGCCAUUGAUUUGAAGUAGAAUUAGGGUUCUAAGGUGUUUUGAGAGGUUGAGAGAAUGUGCUUACUUACACAGAGGGUUGAGAGGAAAUAAGAAAGUGUUUGUUGUGAAGUGAGAAGUGUGUGAAAUGACUUAGUGUUUUUUAUUAAAACGUUUGUAAUUCAGAAGGGACAAACAAACACAACAUUAAUGACAAAUUGGGGGCGCGUGUAAGUAUGUUAAAAAGCGAAUAAAAACAUCAUUGCCCUUUUUGUUAUACUCCAAUACAAAUAGACCACGUCAGAGACUCUUCAGAAAACUACCUUUUGGGUAAUGGGACAGCUGUUACAUAAAGUAACUGCCAACGUUCCCACUAACCAAGCUUUUCAGAAGCAAAGAAUAACACUUCUGAAGUUUUAGUGCUGACGUCAUCUUCAGAAGCACAUUUUCCUCAGAACCUCAGUUAAGAGCUUCUGAUGAACCAAAAUGCUUCUGAAUAAACUUCAGAACCAAACUUCUUAUUCAGAGGCAAGCAAAUUUUCAAUCAGACACAAAAUGCAUGUUCAAAUUUUUCUUAAUAAAAUCAAAUCUUUCAACAGACAAAGGUUUUGUAAAUAUAUCAGCCCAUUGAUGUUCAGUAUCAAUGAAUUGUAUAUCUAAAAUUCCUUUUUGAACAUAGUCUCUGAUAAAAUGGUGUUUGAUUUCAAUAUGCUUGGCUCUUGAAUGUAGAAUUGGAUUCUUUGACAAACAAAUAGCAGCAGUAUUAUCACAAUAAAUGGGAAUACUGUUAGCAUUGAUCUGAUAGUCUUCCAACUGAUGUUUCAUCCAAAGUAGUUGUGUGCAACAACUUGCAGCUGAAAUGUACUCUGCUUCUGCUGUAGACAUAGCAAUAGUUGCUUGUCUUUUGCUUGCCCAGGAUAUCAGAUUCUCUCCCAGGAAUUGACAAUUUCCACUGGUUGAUUUUCUUUCAAUCCUAUCACCAGCAUAAUCAGCAUCACAGAAUCCAAUCAACUUAUAAUCUAGGGAUUUCCUAUACAGGAGUCCAAGAUUAGUUGUUCCUUUCAGAUACCUGAAGAUUCUCUUAACUGCAGUUAAAUGAGAUUCUCUAGGAUCUGAUUGAAAUCUUGCACACAAGCAUACACUGAAUAAAAUAUCAGGUCUAGAUGCAGUGAGGUAUAACAGAGAACCAAUCAUACCUCUGUAUAGCUUCUGGUCUACUACUGUUCCAGUAUCUUCUUUGCUUAAAGUGCAGGUUGGAUGCAUUGGAGUGUUCAUCACUUUACAAUCUUCUAGCUUGAACUUCUUCAGAAGCUCCUUUGUAUAUUUUGUUUGAUGAACAUAUACUCCUUCUUUACUUUGGUUGAUUUGAAUUCCCAGAAAGAAUUUCAAUUCUUCCAUCAUACUCAUUUCAAAUUCAUCCUGCAUUAACUUAGAAAAUUCUUUGCAAAGAGAUGCAUUAGUAGAACCAAAUAUUAUAUCAUCAACAUAUAUUUGCACAAUCAAAAUAUCUUUCUUAAGAGUCCUUCUGAAGAGUGUUGUGUCAACUUGUCCUCUUUCAAAAUCAUUUUUAAUUAAGAAAUUACUUAGUCUAUCAUACCAAGCUCUGGGAGCUUGUUUCAAGCCAUAUAGUGAUUUCUUAAGUUUAUAAACAUGGUCAGGAUGCUUAAGAUCCUCAAACCCAGGAGGUUGUUUAACAUACACUUCUUCUUCAAUGACACCAUUAAGAAAGGCACUUUUGACAUCCAUUUGAUAUAAUAUUAUGCCAUGAUUAAUUGCGUAGGAUAGAAGUAACCUGAUUGCUUCCAAUCUUGCAACUGGAGCAAAUGUUUCAGUGUAAUCAAUGCCUUCUUGUUGACUGUAGCCUUGAGCAACAAGUCUGGCUUUGUUUCUGGUUACUUCUCCUUGUUCAUUCAGCUUGUUUCUGAAUACCCAUUUUGUUCCAAUAAUGUUUUUCUGAAAAGGUUUGGGUACCAGAUCCCACACAUCAUUCCUUUGGAAUUGAUUUAGCUCUUCUUGCAUAGCUAAUAUCCAUCCAUCAUCUGUGAGAGCUUCUUCAACAGUUUUAGGCUCAAUUAUUGAAAGCAGUCCUAUUAAUGAUUCUUCUUGUCUAAAAUGUGAUCUUGUUCUUCUAGGACUAUCUUUGCUUCCAAUGAUUAGCUCCUCAGGAUGUGAAGAUUUGUGCUUGAAUUUAGGUUGAAUAACCUGCUGAGUGUUAUCUUGAAAGUCCUCAGAAGCAAUUUCAUUCUGUACUUUUGGGCUAUGUUCUGCUUCUGAAUUAGACUCAGCUUCUGGAGUGAUUUCAGUUUCUGGACUAGAUUCAACUUCUGUAUACUUUUCAGAUUCAGAAGGUUGAUCAGAUUCUGAUGCAUCUUCAGAAUCAGUUGUACCUGCAUUACUUUCACUUUGCUCUGAAGUUUUACUUUCAGGCUCUCUAUCAUCAAAUUUUACAUGCAUAGAUUCUUCAACACAUUGUGUUUCUGAAUUAUACACUCUGUAUGCCUUUGACCUUUCAGAGUAACCUAAAAAUAUUCCUCUUUGAGCCUUGACAUCAAAUUUCUUCAGAUAGUCUUUAGUGUUUAAGAUGUAACAAGUACAUCCAAACUGAUGAAAGUAAGAGAUAUUGGGUCUUCUUCCUUUAAAGAGUUCAUAUGCUAUUUUCUCCAACAUAGGUCUGAUAUAGAUCCUAUUUUGAAUAUAACAUGAAGUAUUGACUGCUUCUGCCCAAAAAUGUUUAGCUAAGUUGUUUUCAUGGAUCAUGGUUCUGGCCAUUUCUUGUAAGGUUCUGUUCUUUCUUUCUACAACCCCAUUUUGUUGUGGAGUUCUACGAGAAGAAAACUCAUGGUGAAUCCCAUGUUUUUCACAAAAAAGUUCAAAUGGCUCAUUUUCAAAUUCUCCACCAUGAUCACUUCUGACUUUCAAAAUUUUCAAUUCUUUUUCAGAUUGUAUUUGAGUGCAGAAGCUGCUAAACACUUCACAUGCAUAGUCUUUACUUUUAAUGAAUUUUACCCAAGUCCAUCUGCUGUAAUCAUCAACAAUGACUAAUCCAUAUUUACUUCCAUAUAAAGAUGCAGUGUUAACUGGACCAAAAAGAUCAAUAUGGAGUAAUUCUAAGGGUCUGGAGGUUGAUACAAUGUCUUUAGAUUUGAAAGAAUUUUUCACAAUUUUCCCUUUCUGACAUGCACCACAAAGUGCAUCUGAAUGAUAAUCAAUGUUAGGCAAUCCUUUGACCAGUUGUAACUUGCUAAUUUUAGAAAUUAAUCUCCAAUUAGCAUGUCCCAACCUUUUAUGCCAUACCCAUUUUUUAUCAUUCAUUGACAGAAGGCAAACUACCUUCUGAUCAGCCAGAUCAGAGAAAUUUAUUUUAUAGACAUUCUCAACUCUCUUUCCCUUGAAUGUAAUGGAUUUGUCAUCCUUGUUGACUAGUGUGCAGUUGGUCUUACUGAACGUUACAUCAUACCCAUUGUCACAAAAUUGACUAAUGCUCAAUAGGUUAUGCUUCAUACCAUCUACUAGCCACACAUUAUUAAUUGAGAUGGAGGAAUUACCAAUAGUACCUGUACCAAUGAUCUUUCCAGUUUGGUUGCCACCAAACUUCACUUCUCCUCCAUCUUUCAUUGUAAGGGUAAGGAACAAAGCUUUCUCUCCAGUCAUGUGCCUUGAACAUCCGCUGUCUAGGUACCAUGACCUUUGUUUCUCUCUUGCCCUUAAGCACACAUCAUUUUCAUCUUCUGAAUCUGAUUCAGCUUCUGAUACUGUUUCUGAUGAUACUGCUGCCACUAACCCAACGGCUGCCUUAGCAUCAUCAUCAGCUUCUUCUUUAUCAGAACCAGAUUCACUAUCCAAAUCUUCCCAGGUCGCCAUCAAGCUCUUUUUGAUUUGCUUUCUGAAUUUACUGGAGUUGAAGCUUGAUUUCUUGGAUUUGCCUUUAAACUUCUCCUUCUGAAGAUCAGGGCAAUCAGCAAUGAAAUGACCAGGCUUCUUACAAUUGAAGCAUCCCUUCUGAUCUUCUUUCUUGAAGUUCUUGUAGCUACCUCUCUUGCUCAAAAAUUUCUUCUGCUUCCUUGCCAGAUACUCAAGCUUGUUGGACAGCAUAGCCAUCUUUACAGAUUGAUCUUCAUCAGAAUCUCCAUCAGGUGAUUCUUCUUCAGAUUCACUGGCUUUGUAGGCUUUGGAAGACUUUGAGGUCUUUCCUUUAGAUGGUAAAGCAAUGGAUUUACUCUUCUUAGAGGUUUCAUGCUCAUUUAGACUCAUUUCAUGCACUUUGAGUGAGCUAACAAGAUCUUCAACACUUAAAGUAUUUAGAUCCUUAGCUUCCUCAAUGGCAGUUACUUUGGGUCUCCAUCUUGAAGGUAGGCUUCUCAAAAUCUUACUAACAUGAUCAGAAGAAACAUAGCUUUUCUUCAGUAUUUGCAAUCCAGAAACUAAAGUUUGAAAUCUUGAGUACAUUUCUUCUAUACUCUCAUCAUCCUUCAUUCUGAAAAGUUCAUACUGAUGAACUAGCAUCAAAGCUUUAGCCUCUUUUACUUUCUUGCUGCCUUCAAAGUUUGCACAAAGAGAAGCAAACAUAGCUUUCGCAGUAGAUUUGUCACUCAUUUUCAUGUAUUCGGUGCGAGGUAUAGAAGCCACAAUGAUUCCUCUUAUCUUGUGGUGUUUCUUAUAAAGCUUCUUCUGAGCAGGAGUAUGUAUUCUUCUGUCUAUAGCAGCUCCUUCUUCAUCCAAAUCCAGAUCAUCAACUCCAUCUUCCAGUAUAUCCCAUAGCUCUUCAUCCAAUCCCAUGAUAAAGCUGUACAUAUUAGUUUUCCACCAUGAAAACUCUUCUGGAUCUCCAUUAAACUUUGGAGCUUUUCCAGAGUCUGUUUUCUUGUCAGCAGUAUCAUAGUCAUGCUUGACACUUGUGUAUUUUGUAGUAACUGAUUCCUCAUCUCCAGACAUGUUUUUCUAAUAGAUCUUGAACUGUAACACGGUUAAGUGCUGUGAUAACAGAGCAAGCUCUGAUACCAAUUGAAGGUGAAAAACACAAGAAGGGGGGGGGGGGGGGGGGUUGAAUUGUGUUUUCUUUUUCUCUUAAAAAGGGAUUCUUCUUCUGAUAAAACUUCAGAAGCAGUUUGAUUGCUUCUGAUGAAAUGAUCAGAGUCAGAUUGCAGCGGAAAAGAACAGAGCAGAGAAAAGAAAGACAAAGACACAAGCAGUUAUCCUGGUUCCUUCCACAACACGGAAGUAGUCCAGUCCCCCUUGCACUUCCAAGGAGAUUUCACUAUAAUCACAAAGAUUACAACUGCUCAAUACUUUCUAAGUAUGAGACUUCACAAAAAUGCUCAAGCACACACGCAAGAGUCUUCCAAUGCUCAAGCACUAAGCAAGAGACUUCUAAUGCUCAAGCACGCAGGCAAGAGACUUCUAAUCAAACAAAAAUACAGAGAAUUGAGUUUGAAUUGAACACUUGAUAUACAAUCAGUGGUGUUCACAAUGCAAUACAGAAAAGACUCUAGACUUUGAAUUUCUAAGAUGUAUCAAAUCAGUGCAGAAAUUCAGUGUGCUUUGUAGAAUCAAAUUGACAGAGUUUUGGCGCUUUUGAACUUAUGUAUCUCUCUCUGUUAUCUUCAAGUCUUCACUCCUUUAUAUAGAGGCGUGAAAGAGACGUUGAGAUAAUCAGCACGUCUAAAGAGUCGUUUGAAAUCCUUUGAUUAUCCACCAGUGAUCCUUUGCCUGAUUUGGGUGUAGUCCUUUGAAGAAUAAACUUCAAAUUCAUUCCCAUCUUGAGUGUACAAUUCUGCAGGCAUGGCUGUUGUUUUGUCUUGUAGCGUAGACAGAAAACAGAGUAGUGGAGGUAGUGGUUGUACACUUGUACUUUGUCAACUCUAUUAACGAGAGACAAGAGCUCAGUGCUAUCCAUAUAUCCGUUGAUACCUCCCUUUCAAUUCUUCGUUCUUCUUUGAUAAGACUGAAUUGAAAAUCAGCUACUUUGAAUCUUCAGUUUGAUUAAAGGAUCAAAUGUAGCUUCUGGUGAAGAUAUUGCUUCUGAUGAAAACUUUUGCUUCUGAUGACUUUCUGCUUCUGAUGACGUCAUCUCUUCAGGAGCAGUUUAGCUUCAGGAGCAGUUUUCUUCAGAUGCUCAGAAUUUCUUUUUCUUUCCAUUGUUCUUCCAAGACCUAUUGAAAUAACUUGAGUAGCCUUUGGUCCUGUACACUUGAACAAUUAUUAGUAAUAACCAAUUGACAAUUUUUAAUACCUUGUUAUCAUCAAAACUUAAUAAGGUUCAUUGUGAAACACAUUUUGUUCCAACACCAUGUCUCUCUGUCACCAACCUCCAGCACCACUUCCCCAGCAAUUCUAAGUUAAAUUCCCUAAUUCUCCUCACCCUCAAACCACCAACCUCAUUAUCCAAACAAAUAGUAUUCCAAUGAAUCCAAGAAAUUUUCCUAUUAUCCUCACAUCCUCCAAAAAAAAAAAACAAAUAAAAAGAUAUUCGAUAGAGGAGCUUGUUGUUGGCGCCUUUUUGGAACUGCGGCGGAUUCUGCGCAACCUCCAACAAAGCUACCAAGGUACUCAACUUCUCUAACUCGCCCCGCAGUGUUGUCACCUCUUCACGAAGCUCGUGGAUUUCUUGCUCGAUCGUAUCCAUUUCCUUUUUAGUGUUUGCAUGAGUAUUGUAGGUGCGAGUUGGCUUAGGGUGAGGACGUCGAGCCACUUUCGAGGCAGAUUGACCUUUUGUAUGAAAGAGCAAUAUGUGAGACUCAGACCUUUGAAACUAUGAAUUCAUAAUGAUGCAUGAUUUUUAUGAAAAAAGGACAAUUUUAUUUAUUUUUGAAGGACUUUCAAAGCAUUUGUGAACAUCACAGAGAACCUUGUUUUAUUUAACAAUUUUUUAGGUUUACAAUCAGUUCCUUUUUUAGAAGCAAAAAAAAAAACGCUAGGAAAAGAAGUCCCUAACAAAAGCUAAAGUCUAGUUAAGACUUUUGAAGAUGUAUUUCUUGGUGCUCCUUUUUACAAGGUCCAUAUAUGUGAUGUUUACAAGACGACUUAUCUAAGUCCUUCGAUAUUAAUGAGAAUUUUUUUUGAAUGCAUGCAUGCAUGAUAAUGCAACAAAAACAUUGAAAACAUGGUUUAUGGUUUAGGCCCAUGGUGAUGGACUCAAGGGUAAGAGCCCCCAUAUGGUAAGGACUAUGGUUUCAUUUGUUGCUGCAUUAUGGGUUCUACCAAGUUCCCAAAGUCAUUGACCCUUUCCGGAUAUCAUUGGCUUACAAGACUGACUUCUGGUCCAACAAUAUUCGCAAGAGAAUCUAUGCAGCUCGACUGAUCUCAUUUUCUUUUUCUGGAUCUUCGAGAUGUACGUUGUGAAAUGAAUCUUAGACAUUUUCAUGAAUAAAUUUUUUUGCACUAAAUCAAUAUCCUUUUGUAAAAUAGGGCAGUUUUGUAAAAUAUUCGCAGAUUGUACAUGCUCAAGAAUAGGGAUCAAAUCCCAUUUAAUAUUUUCGCCAAUCAUCGCAUAUGUUGCAUUAAACAAAGACAUAUGGAAUGAAGUGCUUACCUUGGUUUGGUCAACUUGCUUUUCGACUUCACUUCCUUUCUCCAUAGUUUAAUCCACAUUAAUCAAUUGCUGCUUCAUGUGAUCAACUGGUUUCGACGUGAUGUAUGUGUCCAUGUUGACCACUUUCUUUGGUACAUCUUGCUACAAAAGUUUCUUUGAUGUUGGCUAAUCUUUAUCGAAAGGUUUCUUCCUGAGAACAAUUGUUUGUGGGGAUGGAUUCAUUUGCAAGUCGAAACGGAACGACCUAUGACAUGGUAAUGAGACCAACAUUCAAGGAGUCGGUCGUAAGUUACUUGUCAUAAAAAUUGUAUCCAUAUCCAUUAAAAUUCUUGCAUAGUGACCGAAAAGUUUGUUCUGUUUGUAUCGUCUAGAUUUAAUAGUGUGCCAACGACACUAGCAAUUUUGAAGAGCAUCUGAUCCUACCAAUAUUCUUGUGGCAAAUAAAUUAAACGGAUCCAAACCCGUACAUGAGUUUGACAUUGAGUAAUAAGAUUAAAGUCCUCUUGCCGUUGCAAUAUUUGAUGGACACCCGAUUUAAGAUUCAUAGUGUUCCUAGCUCAUACUAAACAUAAAUCUUCAUAGUUUGAAAACUUAAAAUCAUAAAACCCACGUGUGAGAGAAAUCAUUUCCCAUCGCCAUGUAGUAUUUCACAGCUUGGAAAGCUUAAGCAUCAAAUCCUUCACGCUAUACGACUUAUCUCCUUUGUGACUCUAAAAUGAAAAGCUAUUAGAAAUAAUUUUUCACAAUUUUAUUUUUUUUUUGAAAUGUUAACUAGUGCCUUCGGGGCACUAGUUAAAGACUACAAGUGGUAAGUAUUUAUGAAAAUGUGUGUAUUAAUUGCAUUGGAAAUUGAAAUAUUUGAUUUUUUUUAAAAUAAUUGUUUAUAUUAGUAUGCUUAAAGAGUGACCCGAAGGCACUCGUUAACAAGACUCUCCAAAACAAGGAGAUAACACGUGUACAAACUAAAACUUUUUUUUAAAUGAUUUUUAUGGUUAAUAUGUUGGAACAAAAUGUGUUUAACACUACCCUUUAGAGUUUUGAUGAUAACAAGGUAUUAAAAAUUGUCAAUUGGAUAUGCUAAUAUUUGUUCAACUGUGCAGGACCAUAGACAAAAAUUUAAUGUCUCUUUGAAGCUUAGAUUCUGGAAGAACAAAUGAGAGCAAUGGAAUCAACAAGAUGGAAGCUUGAAGCAUCUGAAGAAAAGAGGUUCUGAAGUCAAGUGCUCCUGAAGUGAUGAUGUCAUCAGAAGCAAGUUCAUUAGAAGCACCUCAUCAAAAGCAUUAUCACCAGAAGCAGUUUUUCAUCAGAAGCUGAAGAUCAUCAGAAGAUGAGAGAAUUAAAGCUUCAAAGGCUGUUCAAAAUAUUUAAUCAUCAGAAGUCAAAAGAGUGAAGCAACGGCUAAUUCAAAAGGAUUUGAAUGCAUUAGAUGUUUGUUCUUUGAAGAGCGUUGAAAAAGGACAAUUGUACGAAGUGUACAACCACUACUCUCUUUGUGUCUACAUCAGGACAAGAAUAACAGCUAUGCCUGCAACGAUGUUCCUCCAUACUUGGAAUGGAUUUGAAAUUGAUCCUUCAUAGUAUAAUAACCAAAUCGGGAAAAAGAUCAUUGGUGAUUUGAUCAAGCUUCAAACGACUCUUUUUGAUGUGUUGGGAAUUCACAACGUCUCUUUCACACCUCUAUAUAAAGGAGUGAAGACUUAGAGAAUGACAAGACUCAUACAACAAUUUACAAGUGUCAAAACUCUGUCAAAAUUGUUCUGCAUCAAAAGUUCACUUAGAAUUUCUUAACAACUUUCAUAUCUUAGAAAUUCUAUAGUCUUAAGAGUCUGUAUCUGAUUUGUAUUGUGAAUACCACUAAUUGUAUAUCAAGUGUUCAACCUCAAACAUAUUUAUUUGCAAUUCUAUUUGAAUAGAAGUCUCUUGCUUUUGUGCUUGAGUAUAGAAAGUCUCUUGAUUUAGUUCUUGAGCAUAGGAAAUCUCUUUCAGUCUUGAGUAGUUUGAAGUCUCUUGGUAGUUUUAGCAGUGAGCAAUUGUAAUCAAAUAUUACAUUUUUAGUGGACUCUCCUUGGAAGUGCAAGAGGAAUAUGACUACUUCCGGUUUGUGGAAGGAACCUCUAUAAUUGCUUUGUGUCUUUCUUCUCUCUCUCUCUCUCUCUCUCUCUCUCUCUCUCUCUCUAUCUUUUUAUCCGCUGCAUUUAGAAUCUGAACAUCACUUCAAAAGCUGAAUUCUAUCUGCUUCUGAUCAGUGACUUCAGUAGGAAAAAACUAACACAAUUCAACCCCUCCACUACUCUCUUUGUGUCUACAUCAGGACAAGAAUAACAGCUAUGCCUGCAACGAUGUUCCUCCAUACUUGGAAUGGAUUUGAAAUUGAUCCUUCAUAGUAUAAUAACCAAAUCGGGAAAAAGAUCAUUGGUGAUUUGAUCAAGCUUCAAACGACUCUUUUUGAUGUGUUGGGAAUUCACAACGUCUCUUUCACACCUCUAUAUAAAGGAGUGAAGACUUAGAGAAUGACAAGACUCAUACAACAAUUUACAAGUGUCAAAACUCUGUCAAAAUUGUUCUGCAUCAAAAGUUCACUUAGAAUUUCUUAACAACUUUCAUAUCUUAGAAAUUCUAUAGUCUUAAGAGUCUGUAUCUGAUUUGUAUUGUGAAUACCACUAAUUGUAUAUCAAGUGUUCAACCUCAAACAUAUUUAUUUGCAAUUCUAUUUGAAUAGAAGUCUCUUGCUUUUGUGCUUGAGUAUAGAAAGUCUCUUGAUUUAGUUCUUGAGCAUAGGAAAUCUCUUGCAGUCUUGAGUAGUUUGAAGUCUCUUGGUAGUUUUAGCAGUGAGCAAUUGUAAUCAAAUAUUACAUUUUUAGUGGACUCUCCUUGGAAGUGCAAGAGGAAUAUGACUACUUCCGGUUUGUGGAAGGAACCUCUAUAAUUGCUUUGUGUCUUUCUUCUCUCUCUCUCUCUCUCUCUCUCUCUCUCUCUCUCUCUAUCUAUCUAUCUUUUUAUCCGCUGCAUUUAGAAUCUGAACAUCACUUCAAAAGCUGAAUUCUAUCUGCUUCUGAUCAGUGACUUCAGUAGGAAAAAACUAACACAAUUCAACCCCCCCCCCCCCCCCCUCCGGGUGUGUUUUUCUCACCUUCAUAAUAAACAAACAAAAAUAUCUUCAAAUCUUUAUUAAGAUCUCAAAAAAAAUCUCUAGAUUCUCUGCAUAUAAAAUCUGCUGUUUUUUUAAAAGUUAAAGCAAACACAUCCUAAAUCUAAAAUAACUGUUGCACAUGGGAAUCAUUUUUUCAAGACAGCGCUCUGCCCCAGCAAAGCGUUCUCUCCAAACAAAAGAUGAUCAACUUUUUUGAAAUCAUACGUGAAAUAUAGAAUUAUAAUGAAGAAUUCAUCUAUAUGAUCGUAAAGUGUCUUUAUUUAUUAUAGUAGGUAAUUAUGAUUACACUAUUGUUUUCCAUUUCUUCUAUGAGUUCAUGAUGACAACAUAGUUGCAUAAUAUAACAAUACAUAUGUUUUUUUCAUUGAAAUUGACAACUUAAUCUAUAUCGUACUCAGAAGUGCAUUGACAAGUUAAAUUAAUGCACUUCAGAGUUAGAUCAGUUGGACACAUAUCUGGUGGACAUUCAGGGGUAAAUAGGCAUGGAGGAGCAUCUGGGAGGCCUAACAAGAACAAAAUAAAUGUUAAUAUAGAUGAUGGAAUAUUAUAUAUAAGUUAAAUUAUAAUUUUGAAAAUGAUUUAAAACAUUACUCACUUCCAUUGAUUGCGAUCAUAAAUAGGGAAACAAAGAUGAGUAAAGUAUAAAAGAAAUAAAGGAUUCGAGCCAUAAUUUUUGCGCUUUUGCAUGUAAUAAAUGAAAAAUAUUUUGAUCUUUAUAAACAAAAUGUAAUGCUUUGUAAACUUCAAUGAAAUAGUUUUUAACCCCUAGGAGGUGCAAGAAGCCAUUCAAAAAAUUGAAAUAAUUGGUAAAUGUUUCUAUAUUACAUCAAUCUGUCUUGUUUAUCUCUUUACAAGUUCAACUGAUCACUUAGUUUUAGUAAAAUAUUAUUUAAAAAUUUUAAUAAUCAUCAAAGAUCAUUCAUAUUUUUUUUAUUAAACUUCUAAUUUAUUUUUUAUUUCUCUUUUACCUUUUUAUGGUAAAGAAGAGACACAUAAAAAUAUUUGGGUAGAAAUUUAAACAUUAUUGACGAAUGAUGAAAAACUCUUUGGGUAGAAAUCAUUCACCGAUCAGGUGACAAUACUUACUUAUUCCUGAGAAACUAAAAUAACCAUAUUAUAAUGUUAUUUUAUUGACAAUUUUCCAUACUUGUAACACAUGUUAGAAAUAAGACCACACUCGAUUGGUACGUUAGUUAGAAAUAUAUUCUAUGUUAAGGGAUAUUGUAUAUUAUAUUUUUGGGGCCGGAGUUUAAACCCAUACAUUUUAUUUUUUCACAAUUAAAUUGUGUGAGCUCUAACCAUUAAGUUAUUUAAUAAAAAAAGACUACUUGACAAAAAAAAAUUAUAAACAGGAUUUUAUCAGCCAAUUUUGCUAAUAAAAAAUUGGCUCGCUCUAAGGAAAUUCACAAUUAUCAAAGCGGCUAAUGAUUAAACUAGGUGAGAUUGAUGGAACCCAUGCGUCGUUUUCAUGUUAAAAAGUAUCUUUAGGGUAUCAUUUAAGCAUCCAAAAGUAGUAGUUUUUAUAUUGGAAAUUAUGUAGCAUGACUUUUAUGUUUAUUUGAUUUAUUUUUAAGACAAAUUUUUUUUGUAGAUUCCUUAAGCAAUACCCUCAAAAUAUUUGUUAGCGAGACCUUUCAAAUUGAAGUAAAAAUAACAGUGACAAAAGAGGGUUAUAAUUGUGACUAUUUAAAAAUUGGAUCUUUCACUUUGUAAAAAAAAUUUCUCAAUUUAAAACAAUACACUUAACUGUAUGUGUAGUUUGAUUUGCAUGUACCGAGAGUAAAGAGUAUAGUUGCAGAGUUAACACACAAGAACUAUCAUGGUUAUUUAGUUGAAGAGUAUAGUCCUCACAACCGUGAGAUUUCACUAUUGUAUUUAGAUAACCUUUUCCAAUCUUCCCUCACACCUUAUAUCACUCUUUUUCUUACACCUUAGUUUAUCAUAGCCUUUUCAGACUACUAACACUACUAUCACUUAAUCCUUUUUUACAACCUAAAUAAGAUUAAAGGCGUUUUAAAAAAAAAAAAAAACUGAUAGGAGUUUGACUAUGAUCUCAAUUAGUGUAUUUUGUGUAUGAUUCUAAAUUACACUUUGAAUGAUGUUAAAACAUCUAUACUAUACGAGCGAAAAGAUAGAAACUUCCAAAUAAUUGGAUCUCUCUCCAAUCUUCUCUUCUUGCAUCCUAAAGUUCUUCUCUUCUAGCUCAUCUCUUCUCUCAGAUAUUCCUUAUUAGUUGUAAACCUAAUUCUCCAAAGACUACAAUCUAUUUAUAUUUUCUUGUUUGGCCUUGGUUCUCUCACAUCAUUUAAUGGACUAAGUUUCUAUCAUAUUUAUUUUCGACAAAUAAAACUUUACUCGGUAAUUCGACUUAAACCUCCUAUUUACCCAUACACCUCUAUUCUCUAAAUUUCUAGUAAUUAACUAACCCAUAAAUUCAACCACGUUAAAUAAAAGUAAUAAACACAUAAAUUUCUAAAUACUACUAAUAUUACUAAUAUCACAUAAAAAUUAUAACAUUAAUAAACUAGUAAUAAAAAUUGGGAUGUUACACAUUUAGAGCAAUAAUUUCCUUGUGCUCAAAACUUUUUAGGGCUGGCCUUUUGCAGUGAGAUUCAACAUUAAGAUUCGCCAAUUGCACAUGCUUAAGAAUAGGGAUCGAAUCCCCGUUAGUAUUUUCCCCAAUCAUCUCAUCUGUUGCAUUAACCAAAGGCAUAUGCAAUGAAGUUCUUACCACGGUGAGGUCAACUUGCUUUGCGACUUCACUCCCUUUCUACACGGUUUCAUCCACAUUAAUCAAUCGAUGCUCAAUGUGAUCAACUGGUUUCAACGUGUUGGUUGUGUCCAAGUUGACCCUUUUCUUUAGUACAUAUUGCUAUAAAAGUUUCUUUGAUGCUGGUAAUCUUUAUCCAAAGGUUUCUUUCUGAGAACAAUUGUCUUAUGGGGAUGGAUCCAUUUAAAAGUUGAAACGGAAUGACCUAUGAUAAAUCGUAUCCAUAUCCAUUAAAAUUCUUGCAUAGUGAUCGAAAAGUUUGUUAUGUGUUGGAUCGUCUAGAUUUAAUGGUGUUGCAAUGACACUGGCAAUUUUAAAGUGUGUCUGAUCAUGCCAAUAUUCCUGUGGCAAAUCAAUUAAAUGGAUCCAAACUUAUGCAUGAGUUUGACGUUGAGUAAUAUGAUUAAAGUCCUUCUGCCAUUCAGAUAUUUGAAGGACAGCCAAACAUAAAUCUCUGUAGUUUGAAAACUUGAAAUUACAAAACCCACGUUUGAGAUAAAUUAUUUUUCACCUGUAGUAUUCCACAACUUGGAAAGCUUAAGCUUCAGUCAUUCGCACAGGGGCGGAUCUAGAUAUGAUGGUUUGAUGUGGCAAAAUUAUAAAAGAAUUUUUUUAGUGUACAUUUGAUUUAUAAUAUAAUAGCAAAGUAGCUAAAGCAAGUUUGUUACAUAUCUAUGUCUCAGGUUCAAAUCUCAUCCACCACACUUUUGAUGAUUUUCUCCUUAAAAUAUUAAAAAAAAGUUUAAAUAGAUCACACAUUAAUUUGUGAAACAUUGUCAAAUUAUGUGAUAUAUAUUAUGUUUUCGGUCUACUAUAUUAACUAAAAAAAUUUGGCUGUAAUCUGGUGUGGCAGCUGCCACACCAUGCCUAACACUAGAUCCGCCCAUGUUCGCGCUAUACAUCUUAUCUCCUUUGUUUAGAACCAAUCGACCAUGAAUUCUCAUAUGCAUAAUGGGUAAUCUUGAUACAUAAAGAAUCUAAAGUAUUAAUCUGAUUUUGAGAAUCCAUAUUGCUCAGCCAAUUGAAAAAUUGAUACACACGAAAAGCAAAACGAAAUUGUUCACCCAAAACGAUCAAAGAAAGAUCACGUAACCAAGUAACAAACAUCAAUCAUUAUUGUAACAAAACAAUGGAUUCCCCAAUUUCAGUAGACUAAAGCCUGUUUGUUUCAGAUAUUUUUUUCUAAAAAAAACACUUUUGUUAUUUUUAAGUGUUUGUUUAAGAUUUUAAAAAAAUAAUCUAUUUUGACUCUAAAAUGAAAGGCUAUUAGGAUUAAUUUUUCACAAAUAUUUUUUCUUCAAAAACAAAGAGGUAACAUGUGCAAGUAAAAUGAAGAAUUCAUCUGCAUAGUCAUAUAGUGUCUUUAUUUAUUAUAGUAGGUAAUUAUGAUUAAACCAUAAUAUUAUUGUUAUGCAUUUCUUCUGAGUUCAUGAUGGCAAUAUAGUUGCAUAAUAUAACAAUACAUAUGAUCUUUUCAUUGAAAUUGACAACUUAAUCUAAAUCGUACUCAGCAGUGCAUUGACAAGU